RNAcentral lists this ribosomal RNA (293 nucleotides) under uncultured eukaryote. RNAcentral's name for it is "partial 18S ribosomal RNA". It matches the Rfam family "Eukaryotic small subunit ribosomal RNA", at positions 6 to 298 of the family's 1831-position model. The record is from RNAcentral.
GGUUGAUCCUGCCAGUAGUCAUAUGCUUGUCUCAAAGAUUAAGCCAUGCAUGUCUCAGUAUAAACUUCUAUAUGGUGAAACUGCGAAUGGCUCAUUAAAACAGUUAUAAUUUAUUUGAUGGUCGCUUACUACAUGGAUAACUGUGGUAAUUCUAGAGCUAAUACAUGCAUCAAUACCCAACUUCUUGGAAGGGUUGUGUUUAUUAGAUACAGAACCAACCCAGGCUCGUCCUGGUUUUGUGGUGAUUCAUGAUAACUGAAUGAAUCGUAUGGCAUCCGCUGGCGAUAAAUCAU